Long non-coding RNA from Phlebotomus papatasi, 2663 nucleotides. RefSeq lists it as uncharacterized. The transcript is spliced from 2 exons. NCBI's taxonomy places the organism in Eukaryota, Metazoa, Arthropoda, Insecta, Diptera, Psychodidae. The record is from RefSeq and is a predicted model, not a curated record.
UAAUAUCUGCAUGAUUUGUACUUGUAAACUAUCUUCCUAUAAUGAUUAAUAAAUUUAUAUUUGUGAUUUUUCUUCCGAGAUUGCAUUAUGAAGUUAUCAUCUUAGGGGCUAUCAAACUGAUCUACAAAAAUCCAUUCAUAAACUGCCUGGAAAUUUUCCUUCACGAAAUUUCAAUAAAUUACAAAAACAACUUGUUAAUAUUGCCCACUUUUCGAAUUAUAUCGAUUGAUGUCUGGAGAGAGGAAAUGAUAAGGGACAUAUCAAAUUUCUCGGUAAAAGACUAAUCUAUUCUACAUUUUCUUUCACAGCGCUUUCAACACCUUAUCACAUGGUCGCAGCUUAUGCACGAUGCAUAAGCUUCACAGUCGGUUUAUCUCUCAAAAAUCACUUUUCUGUUUAACUUUCCCACUUAAAACACCUUGUGCGUCAUUUUUCACACACUUUUGAUAUUUUUUUUCUUCUACAACUUUUAUCACUACAUUCUCUCACGUAUUCAGCUGCACAAUUCCCGCCCCAAAACCUUUGAUAACACGAGAAAAGAGCAUUUUCUGCGAACUUAUUUUAUUUUAGCACCUCGGAAGAGCUUUUUGAUGGCUCAUUGGGAAUGAGUUUCUUUUGGUGGAAAUGCCAUCGUGACGAAUUUCCCUAAGCAAUAAAUUUUAUGCUGUGAGAUAGUGUGAGGAGAUGAAUAAAUAGCUGAUCAACACCCAUUUAUUUACCAUUUGUUCAAUUUCGCCACUUUCCGGAUGAAUCAUUGCAUUCUGCUUAACUUUUGCAAUGAAACUCUCUCUCUCUCUCUAUCUCUCCAACACUGCCUUAUAAUUGUGCCACGGUUUUAUCACCCAGUAAAAAUUUUCACUGAUAAAACUCCUUUUGUACUUUUAUAUAUAUAUAUUAUUCUUGUCUCUAAAUUUACCAGCGAUCUACACGUCGUGCGCCUUCUCUUGAGACUCAACCACUUUGAAAAACUUUACACUUGUUACACUCCUCAAUUUUUCCACACAACUCUGACAAUAAUUUUCUUCUUUUUUUUUCAAAGCAUAAUUGUGUGUUGUGUCUGAAUUUAUGUGGAAAGAGAAAUAAAGAUGAAAUUUCAUACGUGAUUUUUUUCUACAAUUCUCGCUAAAUUUCUCAAAAAGUUAGAUCAAGAACAUGGGUAAAAAAAAGUGCCACUAAAACUCAAGAACUUAUGGUGUGUCUGUUUCACUUGCGCGCCUCACUUUUCUUCCCAAAAAAUUCGCGUAUUCAGUCCACUCAAUGUAAAUAUCGCGACAUGACUAAGCAUUUAAAAAUAGUAAACACCAAACGAUAAUGCAAAGAGGCCCCAACUCUUUCCAAUUCUCACACAUUUGCGCGCGCGUUCGCUCGCCCAAGAGAGCCUCCUCAAAAUUCAACAUUAUAUUCCAUCGAUCAUCAUCAUCAUCGACGUCAGGCCAACUAAUACACCCUUAUACCUCAUCAAGCCGGCGCGAUCUUGUGUUGCUCGAGUCACACGUUUUAUCAAUAUCAAUCGUCAUUCGGGGCUCAAUUGUUAGACACCGACGAAGCCCAGUAACAUUGUAUGCCUCUAACGCGAAUUCCAAUGAUGACUGAAACAGAGAGAGCAUCAGCAAAUCUUCCUAAUAAAGCUUAUACACGAUAGAAAGAGACAACAAAUUGCUGAUAACGAUUAUAUUUCUUUUUUUCCACAGAAAUCUGAAUGUGGUUGCGGAAAAUCCAAUGAAUGUAUUUGUAUCAAAAACCCACCUAAUCAGCAAAAAUUACCUCAAGUACCGAGAAAGUGUUCAAAAUGAAGAACAAAGAGCAAUAUAAAAUAUAUAUUUGUAAUUAUACUUAGCAGCUGUGCUAUGAAACACCAUCAAGCAUAAGCUGCAAUGCUAAGGGAUCAUUUGCAAUUAUCGUAAUUUGCGGAUUGAAGAAAUCAGCAGAGCAGACAAGGCAACCAUCGUCGGCACCAAUUCCCCUCGCUCGACAUUGUUGCACAAAAUGCAUUUUAACAUCACGUCCAAUCACAAGCGCACAAUUUUCCAUUAAAUAGCUCUAUAUAGCGAGGGAUUGCUUAUAGAAAAUUAUCAAUACAGCUCAAUUUUUUUUAAAGUAAAGUUGCGUCAAAUGAUUAAUUUUGAAUAGAUCCGAGGUGUGUGUACUGGUAUAUUAAAAAAUAUGUAUUUCAACACUUUAAAAUGAAUAUGUUUUUGAUUGUAUUAAUACUGAUUGUACUAUUUAAAAAAAACUAUUUACUUAGAUCGUUAAGUUAUUAAGAAUCUUGAUUUACUCAUCUGAAUAGUCUUAAUAUUAACGGAAAGAGCUUUUAAGAGCAUCAUAAAUUCGACCGAUCACCGUUAAUGGCUCUAUAAAUAGUUAUAGAGUAAAAUUUAUAAUUCAUACUUUAUUAAUCUAGUAAUUAUGCAAUUCUAAAGUAGGGGAGACUGGGGCAAAAUUUGUCAAUUCUAAAAUUUUAAAAUUCGAUAUCUUCCAAGAAAGAGACCGAGGCUUCAAUUUUGUUUCAUAUAUUGCCUUCGUGAACCUCAAUGUACGUCAAAGGUUAUAACCCUUUAAGGACGAUUGGAACACCGGUAUCCCAUAAAGAAAAUAAUUUUUCCUGACUACAUAAAGUUAUUUUUUCCUUAUGUUUGUACGCAAUUGCAAAAUAGAAGGUUGAA